GCAUUUUUGUAGUGUCUCAUGCCAGAACAAACUGUGGCCCCAAACCAUGGCCUGGCCUCUGUGCAUGAAGAUUGCUAACACUGAAGUGGGUUUUAUGGGG
Molecule: small nucleolar RNA, 100 nt
Organism: Ictidomys tridecemlineatus (thirteen-lined ground squirrel)
Lineage: Eukaryota; Metazoa; Chordata; Mammalia; Rodentia; Sciuridae
Source: Ensembl